Molecule: long non-coding RNA, 492 nt
Filed under: Helianthus annuus (common sunflower)
Lineage: Eukaryota; Viridiplantae; Streptophyta; Magnoliopsida; Asterales; Asteraceae
Source: RNAcentral
AUGUCGAUCGAACAGAAGAAACAAGGGUGAAAACCCUUGUUCAUGCUAAUCUACUCAAUUAAUCAAGAAAUUCAAGUCUAAAUCAGUUGCAUGUCUCAAGUUUAUCGAUUAUCUAUGCAUACAUAGUGAAGUGGUGUGAAAGAAGAAGGUUCGAAUUCCAAGAAAUCGGAAGGAUCACAAGACCGAGGUAAAUCCUCGACUUAGACGAUUGGACGGCUUGGAACGUGCACACUUGGUUUACGCCCGCCUCACGCUUCCGUUAUAAAUUACUUUUGAAAUGGGUCAAUUUUGUGGUUGUAUGUACUUUAAGUCCAUGUAGUAUGUUGUUGUCUUGUCGUAGGGUAAAAACUUAGUAGUUGUAGUCAUAUCGGGUCUAAUGUAAGCUUUGCCCGUUUAGGGAAUUGUCAAGAUGGUUAAACUUUGAAGUUUUGUUGUGUAAACAGGUGGUUAAUGGUUUUAAACAAAUAGGUCAUGCCGAAAUUUACAAAAAUU